GAUCAAAUGUCUUUUAUUUGCAAAACGAAAAAUGGAUUUUUGAAAAAGAUGACAAACAUACAAGAUAUACAUCAUGCAACACAUGUGAAUGGCAUUGUACCUCGGCUAAGAAAGACUGGAAUGUUUAAUGGUGCCAUUUGAGAGCUGGCAAAAACAACUUUUCUACUUCUAUUUUGUUAAUCUCCGUUUUAUAAACUGUACAAUAUAAUUGUCCCAAGAAGAGUGGUAGAUUAGUCAUUGCAAUGUCAAGCGCUGUUAAUUUUUAAUGUAUACGAAUUACGUUGGUCACUAGAAAUGUGAAAAACACUAUGUUUCUGCAUUACUUUACUAAAAUUGUAAAUUUCGCCUUCCUUAAA
Long non-coding RNA from Xenia sp. Carnegie-2017, 356 nucleotides. RefSeq lists it as uncharacterized. NCBI's taxonomy places the organism in Eukaryota, Metazoa, Cnidaria, Anthozoa, Malacalcyonacea, Xeniidae. The record is from RefSeq and is a predicted model, not a curated record. The transcript is spliced from 2 exons.